Molecule: non-coding RNA, 30 nt
Filed under: Homo sapiens (human)
Lineage: Eukaryota; Metazoa; Chordata; Mammalia; Primates; Hominidae
Source: RNAcentral
UCUGUAGUUGUUUCAGUGACCCCAUUACCU